This 468-nucleotide ribosomal RNA is filed under the name uncultured Acidovorax sp. Its description in RNAcentral is "bacterial SSU rRNA". It matches the Rfam family "Bacterial small subunit ribosomal RNA", at positions 916 to 1381 of the family's 1533-position model. Lineage: Bacteria; Pseudomonadati; Pseudomonadota; Betaproteobacteria; Burkholderiales; Comamonadaceae. The record is from RNAcentral.
GACGGGACCCGCACAAGCGGUGGAUGAUGUGGUUUAAUUCGAUGCAACGCGAAAACCUUACCCACCUUUGACAUGUACGGAACCCUUUAGAGAUAGAGGGUGCUCGAAAGAGAGCCGUUAACACAGGUGCUGCAUGGCUGUCGUCAGCUCGUGUCGUGAGAUGUUGGGUUAAGUCCCGCAACGAGCGCAACCCUUGUCAUUAGUUGCUACAUUCAGUUGGGCACUCUAAUGAGACUGCCGGUGACAAACCGGAGGAAGGUGGGGAUGACGUCAAGUCCUCAUGGCCCUUAUAGGUGGGGCUACACACGUCAUACAAUGGAUGGUACAAAGGGUCGCCAACCCGCGAGGGGGAGCCAAUCCCAUAAAGCCAUUCGUAGUCCGGAUCGCAGUCUGCAACUCGACUGCGUGAAGUCGGAAUCGCUAGUAAUCGUGGAUCAGAAUGUCACGGUGAAUACGUUCCCGGGUCUU